UUAAUCAUGAACUACAAUUAAGACAUUCACUCCAGUAGAUGUAAACCUCCAAUUAGGCAGGUCUGCUGAGUUAUUUGCUUGAAAUAUAAAUAAAUGUAAUGGGGAUUUUCAGAUUUCUCCACACUGUUUCUUCAUGAAAUUGUCACCUGGAUGAAACUUAGAUCAAUGAUUAAAUGUGGGUGACAGAUGCAAAAUUAUUUAAUUUCACUUAAAUACAUUAUCUUGGUGAAAUUUUCUUUUCUUUUUCAAAAUGAAAAAAUAUGAGUGCCAUCAAAGUUUAAGGGAGACAUUUUAACCAUGGUUGUCUUCAUGAGAUAUCUUACUUGCUUUCAGGUAAUGGGUGAUCUUUGCUCAUGACAUGGAUGAUGAUUUUUAACUUUCUUGACAUUGUAUCACUGGAGAUGACUGUUAUGGUUUUGUCAUCUUCCUAAUGAUACACGUACUCAGGUUCUUACAACAUUUUUCUAUCAGCUCUGAAAGUCAUGUCUCUGCAAUCUAAUAUCAUGUUUACAAUUGCAAAUGAACUUAGGACAAAGUAACUCAUUAAUAAUUUGAGUUAUUCUUUCUGGUGUUAUAAUGAUUUUGCAAGGUCUAAGCUAGCCAGAACCUAUAUAGUCACGUGAUUUAUUUUCAAGGACUACGACCAACUAAGGUUGUUGAGACUCAAGGUAUGAUCAGUUUUACAAAAAUCCUUAGUAAUACAUUCAUUAUUAAUAAUGGAUUUCCACGGACUUUUGUGGAAGAAGUUGGUCUUGGCCAUGUAAUGGGAGACCCAAUAUACACCACAAAAGCCAACAUUACAAUAAACCAGAUUAAAAGCAUCCUUUUUUUGUGGGGAGGGGGUGACCUGGAAGUGUGUAAUUUCAGGUCUGACCAGAUGGUACCAUCUUUCAAAGCCCCUUCGUAUACUGAUGUUCAUUUAUAAGUAGGACAGUGGAUAAUGUUUAUUGUUCAACUGUUCCUCUACCUGUUAUAAUUACUAGGAAAAGGAGUGGGAGAAAAUAUGAUAGCCAUCUUAUGUCUUAUAGCACAGAAUGGUUUAUCCAUUGAAUGGCUAUCUUUCAAUGACUAUAUAUUGAGCAGUUACUCUUUCUAUGCUAUGUUAGGCACUGAACUUCAUAGGAAAAAUACAAGGAUAAAUUCUGUUCCUACUGCUAUCCUGACAUAGUAUGUGACCUUAAAAACCACCAAAUGGACUGUUUGUUUCUCUCUGUGUAAAAUAGGGAUAUCAAGACACACAGCCUUAUAUCUCACAUCACCUCAUAUCUUACAGAAGUACUAUGAAGAUUGAUACAAUAUCUUGAUAUGGAUAUAAUAUUUAAGUAAAUUUCUGAAUUAAUACUUUUGGAUAUUGAACUGUUUUUCUCUCUGAGAGGUUUUCUAUAUUACAUUGUCAUUUAUUUCACUCUCAUUGUGAAAACUGAUAAAUAUUAAAAUGUAGUGUACUUUGUUGAAAUUAGAAUUAAAAUGAACAAUUUAAAUGUAGACAGCAUAAUAAUUAUAAAGGUUUAUCUGAUUUAAGUUAUAAUAAUAGAACUUUAGAUAUGCCAUCUAAACUGUCAUCUGUAGGUUUC
Molecule: long non-coding RNA, 1574 nt
Filed under: Marmota monax (woodchuck)
Lineage: Eukaryota; Metazoa; Chordata; Mammalia; Rodentia; Sciuridae
Source: RNAcentral